AACGAACGCUGGCGGCAUGCCUAACACAUGCAAGUCGAACGAGACCUUCGGGUCUAGUGGCGCACGGGUGCGUAACGCGUGGGAACCUGCCCUUAGGUUCGGAAUAACUCCCCGAAAGGGGUGCUAAUACCGGAUAAUGUCUUCGGACCAUAGAUUUAUCGCCUUUGGAUGGGCCUGCGUUGGAUUAGCUAGUUGGUAGGGUAAAAGCCUACCAAGGCGACGAUCCAUAGCUUGUCUGAGAGGAUGAUCAGCCACACUGGGACUGAGACACGGCCCAGACUCCUACGGGAAGCAGCAGUGGGGAAUAUUGGACAAUGGGCGAAAGCCUGAUCCAGCAAUGCCGCGUGAGUGAUGAAGGCCUUAGGGUUGUAAAGCUCUUUUACCCGGGAUGAUAAUGACAGUACCGGGAGAAUAAGCUCCGGCUAAGUCCGUG
This 433-nucleotide ribosomal RNA is filed under the name uncultured bacterium. RNAcentral's name for it is "partial 16S ribosomal RNA". It matches the Rfam family "Bacterial small subunit ribosomal RNA", at positions 29 to 507 of the family's 1533-position model. The record is from RNAcentral.